Molecule: ribosomal RNA, 2906 nt
Filed under: Klebsiella oxytoca
Lineage: Bacteria; Pseudomonadati; Pseudomonadota; Gammaproteobacteria; Enterobacterales; Enterobacteriaceae
Description: 23S ribosomal RNA
Rfam family: Bacterial large subunit ribosomal RNA
Source: RNAcentral
GGUUAAGCGACUAAGCGUACACGGUGGAUGCCCUGGCAGUCAGAGGCGAUGAAGGACGUGCUAAUCUGCGAAAAGCGUCGGUAAGGUGAUAUGAACCGUUACAGCCGGCGAUGUCCGAAUGGGGAAACCCAGUGCAAUUCGUUGCACUAUCGUUUGAUGAAUACAUAGUCAAACGAGGCGAACCGGGGGAACUGAAACAUCUAAGUACCCCGAGGAAAAGAAAUCAACCGAGAUUCCCCCAGUAGCGGCGAGCGAACGGGGAGCAGCCCGGAGUCUGAAUCAGCUUGUGUGUUAGUGGAAGCGUCUGGAAAGUCGCAGGGUACAGGGUGAUACUCCCGUACACUAAAACACACAGGUUGUGAACUCGAAGAGUAGGGCGGGACACGUGGUAUCCUGUCUGAAUAUGGGGGGACCAUCCUCCAAGGCUAAAUACUCCUGACUGACCGAUAGUGAACCAGUACCGUGAGGGAAAGGCGAAAAGAACCCCGGCGAGGGGAGUGAAAAAGAACCUGAAACCGUGUACGUACAAGCAGUAGGAGCCCACUAGUUGGGUGACUGCGUACCUUUUGUAUAAUGGGUCAGCGACUUAUAUUCUGUAGCAAGGUUAACCGUAUAGGGGAGCCGCAGGGAAACCGAGUCUUAACUGGGCGUUAAGUUGCAGGGUAUAGACCCGAAACCCGGUGAUCUAGCCAUGGGCAGGUUGAAGGUUGGGUAACACUAACUGGAGGACCGAACCGACUAAUGUUGAAAAAUUAGCGGAUGACUUGUGGCUGGGGGUGAAAGGCCAAUCAAACCGGGAGAUAGCUGGUUCUCCCCGAAAGCUAUUUAGGUAGCGCCUCGUGAACUCAUCUUCGGGGGUAGAGCACUGUUUCGGCUAGGGGGUCAUCCCGACUUACCAACCCGAUGCAAACUACGAAUACCGAAGAAUGUUAUCACGGGAGACACACGGCGGGUGCUAACGUCCGUCGUGAAGAGGGAAACAACCCAGACCGCCAGCUAAGGUCCCAAAGUCAUGGUUAAGUGGGAAACGAUGUGGGAAGGCCCAGACAGCCAGGAUGUUGGCUUAGAAGCAGCCAUCAUUUAAAGAAAGCGUAAUAGCUCACUGGUCGAGUCGGCCUGCGCGGAAGAUGUAACGGGGCUAAACCAUGCACCGAAGCUGCGGCAGCGACACUAUGUGUUGUUGGGUAGGGGAGCGUUCUGUAAGCCGUUGAAGGUGGCCUGUGAGGGUUGCUGGAGGUAUCAGAAGUGCGAAUGCUGACAUAAGUAACGAUAAUGCGGGUGAAAAACCCGCACGCCGGAAGACCAAGGGUUCCUGUCCAACGUUAAUCGGGGCAGGGUGAGUCGACCCCUAAGGCGAGGCCGAAAGGCGUAGUCGAUGGGAAACAGGUUAAUAUUCCUGUACUUGGUGUUACUGCGAAGGGGGGACGGAGAAGGCUAUGUUGGCCGGGCGACGGUUGUCCCGGUUUAAGCAUGUAGGCGGAUGUUCCAGGUAAAUCCGGAACGUCACUAACGCUGAGGUGUGAUGACGAGGCACUACGGUGCUGAAGUGACAAAUGCCCUGCUUCCAGGAAAAGCCUCUAAGCAUCAGGUAACAUCAAAUCGUACCCCAAACCGACACAGGUGGUCAGGUAGAGAAUACCAAGGCGCUUGAGAGAACUCGGGUGAAGGAACUAGGCAAAAUGGUGCCGUAACUUCGGGAGAAGGCACGCUGAUGGUAAGUGAAGUGACUUGCUCAUGGAGCUGAAAUCAGUCGAAGAUACCAGCUGGCUGCAACUGUUUAUUAAAAACACAGCACUGUGCAAACACGAAAGUGGACGUAUACGGUGUGACGCCUGCCCGGUGCCGGAAGGUUAAUUGAUGGGGUUAUCCUCACGGAGAAGCUCUUGAUCGAAGCCCCGGUAAACGGCGGCCGUAACUAUAACGGUCCUAAGGUAGCGAAAUUCCUUGUCGGGUAAGUUCCGACCUGCACGAAUGGCGUAAUGAUGGCCAGGCUGUCUCCACCCGAGACUCAGUGAAAUUGAACUCGCUGUGAAGAUGCAGUGUACCCGCGGCAAGACGGAAAGACCCCGUGAACCUUUACUAUAGCUUGACACUGAACACUGGUCCUUGAUGUGUAGGAUAGGUGGGAGGCUUUGAAGUGUGGACGCCAGUCUGCAUGGAGCCGUCCUUGAAAUACCACCCUUUAAUGGCUGGUGUUCUAACGUGGGCCCCUAAUCGGGGUUGCGGACAGUGUCUGGUGGGUAGUUUGACUGGGGCGGUCUCCUCCUAAAGAGUAACGGAGGAGCACGAAGGUCAGCUAAUCCUGGUCGGACAUCAGGAGGUUAGUGCAAUGGCAUAAGCUGGCUUGACUGCGAGCGUGACGGCGCGAGCAGGUGCGAAAGCAGGUCAUAGUGAUCCGGUGGUUCUGAAUGGAAGGGCCAUCGCUCAACGGAUAAAAGGUACUCCGGGGAUAACAGGCUGAUACCGCCCAAGAGUUCAUAUCGACGGCGGUGUUUGGCACCUCGAUGUCGGCUCAUCACAUCCUGGGGCUGAAGUAGGUCCCAAGGGUAUGGCUGUUCGCCAUUUAAAGUGGUACGCGAGCUGGGUUUAGAACGUCGUGAGACAGUUCGGUCCCUAUCUGCCGUGGGCGCUGGAGAAUUGAGGGGGGCUGCUCCUAGUACGAGAGGACCGGAGUGGACGCAUCACUGGUGUUCGGGUUGUCAUGCCAAUGGCAUUGCCCGGUAGCUAAAUGCGGAAGAGAUAAGUGCUGAAAGCAUCUAAGCACGAAACUUGCCCCGAGAUGAGUUCUCCCUGACUCCUUGAGAGUCCUGAAGGAACGUUGAAGACGACGACGUUGAUAGGCCGGGUGUGUAAGCGCAGCGAUGCGUUGAGCUAACCGGUACUAAUGAACCGUGAGGCUUAACCUU